This is a long non-coding RNA of Gallus gallus (chicken), 2408 nucleotides long. Lineage: Eukaryota; Metazoa; Chordata; Aves; Galliformes; Phasianidae. The record is from Ensembl.
UUUCAUUACUAAUUACAAUUAACUUUAAUUAACCGACAGUUCUGCGUCAACCUCAGCCCGACACCGUUGGGGGGGGGGGGGGGGGGGGGAAGGGGGGGUCACGACGCACUGUGGGGCCGCUGUGGGGCGGCCAUCCUCAGCCCCCCCCCCUACAUCCAUUCCCCCCCCCCCCCAUAUUACAGUCCUUCACAGGGCCGGGGGGGGGGGAGGGGGGGCAGAGCUGCACAGCUGUGGGGCAGAGCCACAUCUCUAUGGGGCAGAGCCACAUCUCUAUGGGCAGAGCCGUGGUGCUAUGGGGCAGAGCCGCAGUGCUGUGGGGCAGAGCCGCAUCGCUAUGGGGCAGAGCCACACUGCUAUGGGCAGAGCCGCAGUGCUAUGGGGCAGAGCCUCACAGCUAUGGGGCAGAGCCACAUCUCUAUGGGGCAGAGCCACAUCUCUAUGGGCAGAGCUGCACUGCUAUGUGGCAGAGCCUCACAGCUAUGGGGCAGAGCUGCCUCUCUAUGUGCAGAGUUGUACAGCUAUGGGGCAGAGCCACAUCUCUAUGGGGCAGAGCCGCGGCGCUAUGGGGCAGAGCCUCACAGCUAUGGGGCAGAGCCACAUCUCUAUGGGGCAGAGCCGUGGCGCUAUGGGCAGAGCCGCGGCGCUAUGGGGCAGAGCCGCAGUGCUAUGGGGCAGAGCCGCGGCGCUAUGGGGCAGAGCCACAUCCCUAUUGGCAGAGCCACAUCUCUAUGGGGCAGAGCCGCACAGCUAUGGGGCAGAGCCACAUCUCUAUGGGGCAGAGCCGUGGUGCUAUGGGGCACAGCCUCACAGCUAUGGGGCAGAGCCACAUCUCUAUGGGGCAGAGCCACAUCUCUAUGGGCAGAGCCGCGGCGCUAUGGGGCAGAGCUGCCUCUCUAUUGGCAGAGCUGUACAGCUAUGGGGCAGAGCCACAUCUCUAUGGGGCAGAGCCGCAUUGCUAUGGGCAGAGCUGUACAGCUAUGGGGCAGAGCCGCGGCGCUAUGGGGCACAGCCGCACUAUGGGGCAGAGCCGCGGCGCUAUGGGGCAGAGCCUCACAGCUAUGGGGCAGAGCCGCGGUGCUAUGGGGCAGAGCCGCAGCGCUAUGGGGCAGAGCCGCGGCGUUAUGGGGCAGAGCUGCCUCUCUAUGGGCAGAGUUGUACAGCUAUGGGGCAGAGCCACAUCUCUAUGGGGCAGAGCCGCGGCGCUAUGGGGCAGAGCCUCACAGCUAUGGGGCAGAGCCACAUCUCUAUGGGGCAGAGCCGUGGCGCUAUGGGGCAGAGCCGCAGCGCUAUGGGGCAGAGCCGCGGCGCUAUGGGGCAGAGCUGCCUCUCUAUGUGCAGAGUUGUACAGCUAUGGGGCAGAGCCACAUCUCUAUGGGGCAGAGCCGCGGCGCUAUGGGGCAGAGCCUCACAGCUAUGGGGCAGAGCCACAUCUCUAUGGGGCAGAGCCGUGGCGCUAUGGGCAGAGCCGCGGCGCUAUGGGGCAGAGCCGCACUAUGGGGCAGAGCCACAUCUCUAUGGGGCAGAGCCACAUCUCUAUGGGCAGAGCCGCGGCGCUAUGGGGCAGAGCUGCCUCUCUAUUGGCAGAGCUGUACAGCUAUGGGGCAGAGCCACAUCUCUAUGGGGCAGAGCCGCAUUGCUAUGGGCAGAGCUGUACAGCUAUGGGGCAGAGCCGCGGCGCUAUGGGGCACAGCCGCACUAUGGGGCAGAGCCGCGGCGCUAUGGGGCAGAGCCUCACAGCUAUGGGGCAGAGCCGCGGUGCUAUGGGGCAGAGCCGCAGCGCUAUGGGGCAGAGCCGCGGCGUUAUGGGGCAGAGCUGCCUCUCUAUGGGCAGAGUUGUACAGCUAUGGGGCAGAGCCACAUCUCUAUGGGGCAGAGCCGCGGCGCUAUGGGGCAGAGCCUCACAGCUAUGGGGCAGAGCCACAUCUCUAUGGGGCAGAGCCGUGGCGCUAUGGGGCAGAGCCGCAGCGCUAUGGGGCAGAGCCGCGGCGCUAUGGGGCAGAGCUGCCUCUCUAUGGGCAGAGCUGUACAGCUAUGGGGCAGAGCCUCACAGCUAUGGGGCAGAGCCGCAUCUCUAUGGGCAGAGCUGUACAGCUAUGGGGCAGAGCCACAUCUCUAUGGGGCAGAGCCGCAUCUCUAUGGGGCAGAGCCGCGGCGCUAUGGGGCAGAGCCGCAUCUCUAUGGGGCAGAGCCGCGGCGCUAUGGGGCAGAGCCCCCCCCGUGUGUGUGGGGCGCAGUGUGGGGCGCUCAGUAGAUCUUCUGUCGGCGCGGCAGCACCGCGUCCCGGAGGAGGCCGAAGACGCGCAGAAGGCCCGAGCGCUGAGAGCGCUUCCCCUGAGUGAAGUAAUUGGACACCACGUCGUCUGCGCGACAGCGCGGGGGCGGCCGGCACAGAGAGAGAGAAUGGGGGG